CGCGUAGGCGGCUUUGUAAGCCUGGAGUGAAAGUCCUCUUUUCAAGGGAGGAAUUGCUUUGGAAACUAUAGAGCUUGAGUGCAGGAGAGGUUAUCGGAAUUCCCGGUGUAGCGGUGAAAUGCGUAGAUAUCGGGAGGAACAUCGGUGGCGAAGGCGGCCCCCUGGAUCAAGACUGACGCUGAGGUGCGAAAGCGUGGGGAAGCAAACA
RNAcentral lists this ribosomal RNA (208 nucleotides) under uncultured bacterium. Its description in RNAcentral is "partial 16S ribosomal RNA". It matches the Rfam family "Bacterial small subunit ribosomal RNA", at positions 568 to 774 of the family's 1533-position model. The record is from RNAcentral.